This 431-nucleotide ribosomal RNA is filed under the name uncultured bacterium. RNAcentral describes it as "bacterial SSU rRNA". It matches the Rfam family "Bacterial small subunit ribosomal RNA", at positions 335 to 759 of the family's 1533-position model. The record is from RNAcentral.
ACUCCUACGGGAGGCAGCAGUGGGGAAUAUUGCACAAUGGGCGCAAGCCUGAUGCAGCCAUGCCGCGUGUAUGAAGAAGGCCUUCGGGUUGUAAAGUACUUUCAGCAGUGAGGAAGGUGGGUGUGUUAAUAGCAUACUCAUUUGACGUUAGCUGCAGAAGAAGCACCGGCUAACUCCGUGCCAGCAGCCGCGGUAAUACGGAGGGUGCGAGCGUUAAUCGGAAUUACUGGGCGUAAAGCGUGCGUAGGCGGUUAUAUAAGCUAGAUGUGAAAGCCCGGGGCUUAACCUCGGAACUGCAUUUAGAACUGUAUGACUAGAGUUUUGUANAGGGUGGUGGAAUUUCCAGUGUAGCGGUGAAAUGCGUAGAGAUUGGAAGGAACAUCAGUGGCGAAGGCGGCCACUGGACAAAAACUGACGCUGAGGCACGAAAG